GCGUCUGAAAUUUUUUUUUUGAAAACCUGACCCCAGAGUAUGCCAGAUCCGCCACAAAUACAGGAGGUCCACUGUUCACACGGACAGAGUCUCCCCUGUAUUUGCACGGCGUCGCACAAGUACAAUAGUCAAACAUGAUACAACCACAACUAGAUGAACAUACAAAUAACCAACAGUUAUACAUUCAUACACCAUUCACCACAGUUUCACAUUUAUACAUUCAAUAUUUAAAUAUAAAUCCACAUCUAUCAGUUAAAAUGUUUCCAACCACAGAAACAGGUUUUGAAAUACUAAGAUACAAAAUCCACAGAAAACCUUUUGAAAACUGUUCCCUACACAUAAACUUUUAUCUUUUUAAAAACGCUACCACGAGGGGCAGAAAACCAUUUUUAUUUUACAAAAUUCACAAACCAGUUUAUUACAUUCAUGAAAACCCAUAUUUUCAAAUGUAAUAAAAAUACUGAACCAUAUAAACUAUCUAAGCUAUAACAACAAAAUA
Molecule: long non-coding RNA, 499 nt
Filed under: Ananas comosus (pineapple)
Lineage: Eukaryota; Viridiplantae; Streptophyta; Magnoliopsida; Poales; Bromeliaceae
Description: long non-coding RNA (ACOM_LNC037080)
Source: RNAcentral